UUAUUUGCAUUUAUGUCCCCCUUCCUCUUGGGGGGAAAACACUCUGCUUAUUCCCAUUUUAUAGAAAAGAAAACUGCCCAACGUCACAGACCAGGCAGUGGGGGAGUUCAGCAUCAGAGUCAGGUGUGUCGGACCUGGGCUCCUGCGAGAGUCACACCAAUGUUCGAAGUCCAAGCAUCUGAGCUGAGCUGGUGUCAUCAAUCUGGCCCUUCGUAUUGCCGACGCCUUCAGAACAAGGAACACCUUCCCCAGGAGCUAUCCAGACCCUGCUGCAGUAUGGGCAUCCCAGGAAGCUUGUCUUCAUCCCUCACCCCAACAGGGUCAGGGACCCACCCAUCCCUGCCCCGAAUGCCAGGCCUUCCGCGCCAACCCAGCCAUGGUCUGCACCCCUCCCCCAACUUGACUUCCAGCUUCCAGGGACGGUGUCUUGUUCAGAUCUGGAUCUUGGGGCCCAAACCAGGGUUGGCACAUCAUAAAUCUCACUAAGGUCCUGCCACCGCAUCUCUCCUUACCCUCCUUAGCGCUGGCCUGGCACAUGCCUGAGCACCGAGAAACAGGAUUGGAUUGGAUCGGAUUGGAUUGGACUGAAUCAAAUCAUGGCACUGAGGCAGACCUGAGACCCACGGGGGGAGAAA
RNAcentral lists this long non-coding RNA (635 nucleotides) under Mustela putorius furo (domestic ferret). RNAcentral describes it as "lncRNA (ENSMPUG00000025933.1)". Lineage: Eukaryota; Metazoa; Chordata; Mammalia; Carnivora; Mustelidae. The record is from RNAcentral.